GCCCCCAGUCAGUCAUCUCCCCAGUCAAUAGUCCCCCAGUCAGUCAUCUCCCCCAGUCAAUAGUCCCCCAGUCAGUCAUCUCCCAGUCAAUAGUCCACCAGUCAAUAGCCCCCAGUCAAUAGCCCCCAGUCAGUCAUCUCCCAGUCAAUAGUCCCCCAGUCAGUCAUCUCCCAGUCAAUAUCCCCCCAGUCAGUCAUCUCCCAGUCAAUAGUCCACCAGUCAAUAGUCCCCAGUCAAUAGCCCCCCAGUCAGU
Molecule: long non-coding RNA, 253 nt
Organism: Oncorhynchus tshawytscha (Chinook salmon)
Lineage: Eukaryota; Metazoa; Chordata; Actinopteri; Salmoniformes; Salmonidae
Source: Ensembl